This 329-nucleotide unclassified non-coding RNA is filed under the name soil metagenome. RNAcentral's name for it is "partial contains 5.8S ribosomal RNA, internal transcribed spacer 2, and large subunit ribosomal RNA". The stretch from base 1 to 120 matches the Rfam family "5.8S ribosomal RNA", at positions 35 to 154 of the family's 154-position model. The record is from RNAcentral.
GAUGAAGAACGCAGCGAAAUGCGAUAAGUAAUGUGAAUUGCAGAAUUCAGUGAAUCAUCGAAUCUUUGAACGCUCAUCGCGCCCCUUGGUAUUCCGAGGGGCAUGCCUGUUCGAGCGUCAUUAUAACCCCUCAAGCUCAGCUUGGUGUUGGGGCCUGCUGCACUGGCAGCCCUUAAAAUCAGUGGCGGCGCCAUCUGGCUCUAAGCGUAGUAAUUCUUCUCGCUAUGGAGUCCUGGUGGAUGCUUGCCAUCAACCCCCAAUUUUUCUAUGGUUGACCUCGGAUCAGGUAGGGAUACCCGCUGAACUUAAGCAUAUCAAUAAGCGGAGGA